Ostrea edulis (European flat oyster) is the source of this 841-nucleotide long non-coding RNA. RefSeq lists it as uncharacterized. Lineage: Eukaryota; Metazoa; Mollusca; Bivalvia; Ostreida; Ostreidae. The record is from RefSeq and is a predicted model, not a curated record. The transcript is spliced from 4 exons.
GAAAAACAAAAAGGGGCUCCGAAAGUACAUGUUGUUGCUGUGACUGAAUCGAUGAUUGAGAGGGUCGUCUCGACGAAAGAUAGAGAAAUUUGGCCAUAGUUUAGAUUAGGAAUACGUCAAUGUAAUAAUAAUGGACUAAAUGUUUCGUCCGUGCAGAAUGGCACUUUUUACCUCACGAAAUUCACCACCAUGCAUAGCUGCGCUACGUAAACAAAGUUGUUGAUGUAGCGUGAUCGUGAUGUCCGAGUGCUGCGAGUUUCAAUACUGUUUAUGUAGUCAUUGAGAGUUUAAACAAAGUUUCUUCUGAGAAGAGGAAUUCGAUGGAUGCAUUCAACGUGGACAACGAAAUCAUAACUUCGUUUGGACCCGGGGAUGGGAGGAUAUGUACAGUUUAAAUAGAAGCAUCAUCCUAAGGACCCGUGCAAGUUGAAAUGGGCUUCCAGCCAACAACUUCAACAGCAAUUUGCCAUGAAAAUCAGCAAGAAAGGUACUUCAUUUACAUAGAUGAUGUCAUAUCCCCUGGACCCCACAACUUUACAGGUUACAGAGAAAAUUCAAGAACUUCUGCAAAAUGUGGGACUUGGAUAGAAUCAAUAAUGUAUUUGUGAGCCCAGAGCAAUGGAUAUAUUGUGCAACAUACUAAAGUGUGAAUUUAAUGGAAAACAAGUACAUGUACUCAUGUAUUACAUGUCUUUUUUAAAGACAAUAAUAUUGUAUAAAUAUAGAGGAAGUGUCAUUGUUGAUUAUUCUAAGUUUUUGAUAUAUCAAAAUCAGUAAACAUUUCUAAAUGAAAAUAAAAUACCAAUUUUAUAACUUUAAUCAAUGUGUUUGAAUUUCUCAU